ACGCACGCUGGCGGCGUGCCUAAUACAUGCAAGUAGAACGCUGAAGGAGGAGCUUGCUUCUCUGGAUGAGUUGCGAACGGGUGAGUAACGCGUAGGUAACCUGCCUGGUAGCGGGGGAUAACUAUUGGAAACGAUAGCUAAUACCGCAUAAUAGUAGAUGUUGCAUGACAUUUGCUUAAAAGGUGCAAUUGCAUCACUACCAGAUGGACCUGCGUUGUAUUAGCUAGUUGGUGAGGUAACGGCUCACCAAGGCGACGAUACAUAGCCGACCUGAGAGGGUGAUCGGCCACACUGGGACUGAGACACGGCCCAGACUCCUACGGGAGGCAGCAGUAGGGAAUCUUCGGCAAAGGACGGAAGUCUGACCGAGCAACGCCGCGCGAGUGAAGAAGGUUUUCGGAUCGUAAAGCUCUGUUGUAAGAGAAGAACGAGUGUGAGAGUGGAAAGUUCACACUGUGACGGUAUCUUACCAGAAAGGGACGGCUAACUACGUG
RNAcentral lists this ribosomal RNA (494 nucleotides) under uncultured bacterium. Its description in RNAcentral is "partial 16S ribosomal RNA". It matches the Rfam family "Bacterial small subunit ribosomal RNA", at positions 29 to 507 of the family's 1533-position model. The record is from RNAcentral.